RNAcentral lists this ribosomal RNA (550 nucleotides) under Hyperolius endjami. RNAcentral describes it as "partial large subunit ribosomal RNA". It matches the Rfam family "Bacterial large subunit ribosomal RNA", at positions 1859 to 2620 of the family's 2925-position model. The record is from RNAcentral. Lineage: Eukaryota; Metazoa; Chordata; Amphibia; Anura; Hyperoliidae.
UUGCCCCGUGGAUUUAAUUUAACGGCCGCGGUAUCUUAACCGUGCAAAGGUAGCAUAAUCAUUUGUUCUUUAAAUUAGGACUAGUAUGAACGGCACCACGAGGGUUUAACUGUCUCCCUUUUUUAAUCAAUGAAAUUAAUCUUCCCGUGAAGAAGCGGGAAUAUUAUUAUAAGACGAGAAGACCCCAUGGAGCUUUAAACUUAUUACCACUUAUUUUGUGAUAUAACAUAAUACUUAAUAAAAGUGUUCUUCAAUAGUUUUUGGUUGGGGCGACCCUGGAGAAAAAUUAAUCCUCCAGACUGAAAGGAACAUAAACCUUAUAUAAGAACCACAAUUCAAAUAAACAAAAAUUUGACAAAACUGACCCAGAAUAAACUGAUCAGUGAACCAAGUUACCCUGGGGAUAACAGCGCAAUCCAUUUUGAGAGCCCAUAUCGACAAAUGGGUUUACGACCUCGAUGUUGGAUCAGGGAAUCCCAGCAGCGCAGCCGUUGCUAAUGGUUCGUUUGUUCAACGAUUAAUACCCUACGUGAUCUGAGUUCAGACCGGA